This 253-nucleotide ribosomal RNA is filed under the name uncultured bacterium. Its description in RNAcentral is "partial 16S ribosomal RNA". It matches the Rfam family "Bacterial small subunit ribosomal RNA", at positions 524 to 776 of the family's 1533-position model. The record is from RNAcentral.
UACAGAGGUCCCGAGCGUUGUUCGGAUUUAUUGGGCGUAAAGGGUGCGUAGGCGGCGGAGUAAGUUGGGUGUGAAAUCCCGGGGCUCAACCUCGGAAUGGCAUUCAAUACUGCUUCGCUAGAGUACUGGAGAGGAGGCUGGAAUUUACGGUGUAGCAGUGAAAUGCGUAGAUAUCGUAAGGAAGGCCGGUGGCGAAAGCGAGCCUCUGGACAGUUACUGACACUGAGACACGAAGGCCAGGGGAGCAAACGGG